Small nucleolar RNA from Suncus etruscus (white-toothed pygmy shrew), 129 nucleotides. RefSeq annotates it as small nucleolar RNA SNORA77. The transcript has a single exon. The record is from RefSeq and is a predicted model, not a curated record. NCBI's taxonomy places the organism in Eukaryota, Metazoa, Chordata, Mammalia, Eulipotyphla, Soricidae.
GCAGACUCACUCUGCACCCUGCUAUAGCCUCAAGUGCGGGUGCUUUUUCUGUCUGCCACAGAAACAUUCCAGGGGCCCAGGACCACUUUGACCUUGUCAAAGUAGAUGGAGCUGCCUGGCAACACAGGA